GCUGCCAGAUAGCCAUGCAUGUCUAGUAUAAGUGUUAUACAGCGAAACUGCGAAUGGCUCAUUAAAACAGUUAUAGUUUAUUUGACAAUCGAAUUUACAUGGAUAACCGUGGUAAUUCUAGAGCUAAUACAUGCUGGUGUGCCCGACUUUUCGGAAGGGCGGUAUUUAUUAGAUAACAAGCCAAUAUUCCUCUGGUCUAUUGUGGUGACUCAUAAUAACUGAUCGAAUCGCAAGGCCUAUGGCCGCGAUAAGUCAUUCAAGUUUCUGCCCCAUCAGCUUUCGAUGGUAGUGUAUUGGACUACCAUGGCGUUUACGGGUAACGGAGGAUUAGGGUUCGAUUCCGGAGAGGGAGCCUGAGAAACGGCUACCACAUCUAAGGAAGGCAGCAGGCGCGUAAAUUACCCAAUCCUGAUUCAGGGAGGUAGUGACAAGAAAUAACGGACCGAGGCCUUCGGGCUUCGGGAUUGCAAUGAGCCGAAUUUACACCCCUUAGCGAGGAU
Molecule: ribosomal RNA, 500 nt
Filed under: uncultured eukaryote
Lineage: Eukaryota
Description: SSU rRNA
Rfam family: Eukaryotic small subunit ribosomal RNA
Source: RNAcentral